This is a non-coding RNA of Delphinapterus leucas (beluga whale), 2322 nucleotides long. The record is from RefSeq and is a predicted model, not a curated record. Lineage: Eukaryota; Metazoa; Chordata; Mammalia; Artiodactyla; Monodontidae.
UGUGAAUUGUGUCCAGGGACUGUAACCUGAGAGGAAACAAGAAAGUUAUCUGAGUGAUUUCAGAUGUUUUGUGGUGCCAACAGUGAAAAACACUGAUAUCCACCACUAAAAUGCAGCCUUUAUGAAACACACGUAACAACCUGCCAGGUCUCCCCAGGCUAGAAACAGCUUCAGUCCUGCUCGGUGAAUGAGUUACCAAGUGCCUACUGAUACGGACCGCAGUUGUUAAUGCUGUUGCUGAGAAUUACAAAGUGAAAUAAAGACAGUUCCUUUAUCUGAAGAUGUAAGUCAGAAGCAAUAGACUGAUUUCUGUCCCCAUCGUUUUCAUGGAGCGCAAAGGUACCACCCGAAAUGGGAUUUGGCUUCUAUUUGAAAAAUUGCCAGUUGGGGAAAAAACAUGAUUUUCUGAGUUUCUUCCUAUUUUUGCCACCUCACCGACUCCCCGCUAAAUGCAAGUUGGCCUUUUAUUCUGUCCUGAUGUAUCUACUUUUGGACUUCCAGACUUAUUUUAGAUCCUUUCUAGGCACCACCAAACUUUUCACUUAGAAGGAAGUGACUGUUUUACCAGAAGAGAUUAUUUAUUUCUAUAUGCUGAAAUCAAAAAUUGAAAAAAGACCAGAAGAUCCAAAGAGAUGCAGAGACAGCCAGCACUAUGACAUCAGGAGAACAAAAAGCAAAAUUUUGAAAAAAGCUCAGAUAAUAAGCAAAGGAGAAUAAAAUCUGAGACUUAAAUUUUGUGGCCACAUCUGGAAAUGAGGGGCAGAAAUGUAAAGCUCUCCUUCCCUUGGGGAUGUAUCAAGCUCUGUGGAUGAAAAGCCCGUGCUGGGCAAGGACUGGCCACAGCGCAGAGUCUGAGCCGGUGGUACUCGGGAGACUGUUCACUCCCAUGUCCCCACCUAAUGAUUAUAGCUGCCACUGACUUUGGAUCUGAUAACAGAUGCGUAUCUGUGUCUCACAGGCUUCUGGAACUCAACACAUACCAGAUUCUCUCAGGUCCAGGUUGCUUAGGUUUCUGGAUGCUGUGGGCCAUCCCCCAAACCUCUGGGUUCAGAUCUGCUCUGAGGAGUUCAAGGGAGAGAACAGCAGCAGGUAAUAUCACGUCUUGCUCAUCUUUGCUUCUCCCCAGAGAGGGAACAAGCAGGACAUUCCAGAUCCCUAGAAUUCACACUCAACUUAAUGUCUGCCUUACCGUCAUCCCAACAGGAGCCUAGUCAACCCUCUAAGCAUGACAACACAGCACCAAAGGACCUGAGUUUAGAUUGAGGUUGGCCGUGAGAUUUAAUUGAAAGAAUGACCCCAUCGGAGCCUUAGAACAAGCUGGGCAGGUGGGAAGCUUUGGUGUGAAGCAUGCAGAAAAUCCAGCAAUUAUGCAAUUAUGCAGCAGACCCACGAUGCAAACCUCUUCAACACAAACACACAUCCUCCACUUUGGCUUCAUGUGGUAGCAUAACUGUCGCCCUAAUUCCUGAUACCUUUCUCCCCCAAGCCGUUCUCAAUGGAGAAAAAUAACUAACCCGGGCAACGCAGAAGAGCCUUCCACACCCUGCCGAGGAUUCCAUCAUCAUCACAAGCAAUGUGUUGCUCUAGUACAAUGGUUUUCGAAGAGUAGUCCCUGGACGGGCAGCGUCAGCAUCACCAGGGAAGAUGUUAAUCAUUCCAGACCCACUAAAUCAGAAACUCUGGGGAUGGGGCCUGGCAAUCUCAUUUUAACAAACCCUCCUGGUGAGUCUGCUGCACAUGUUUGAGAAGGACCACUCUUGUCACAUUAAGUCUGCUCAUCUGUGAUAAAGGCCAGACAGCCAUCAAAAAACAGGCUGCAAAGACUCCCAAUGCCAGGUCAUUUGGCAGAGUUGAGGGGUGGGAGGGGUUGAAGCUAACGGUGCUAGGUAACCACCCCAGUUCUAGAAGAAAUGCAAAAUGGCAUGUCCAAAGUUCUCUGGUCUGUGAUAUUAUAUGGCAAGUGACAAGCAAACUUGGCUUCUUUCUAAAUGGGUGAUAAAUGUAACAGAGUAACAGCCUGUUUUCCUGAUCUUUUGCCAGAUUUCCAGGUCAUUCAACUUGUAAAAUUAGAAGUACCCUGGAUUUUACACCCGCAUAUUAAAGUAACACACACCAUGCUUUCUCUUAUAUGAACCGAUAGGUGCUGCACUUCUCACAGGCUGCAGAUGUUCACGCAGAGAGAAUUCUGAACCAUUGUUCUGGUACUAAAAAUGAGGCUAUACCUAGAAAACAUAAAUAGGGGCUUGCAUUUUCUCAGCCCAGAGGGUUUGCCAGAUGCUAUAUUUUGUGUUAACAGGAAUUAAUAAAAAAAUCUUACAAACC